This 713-nucleotide ribosomal RNA is filed under the name Diacyclops sp. 2 TYM-2010. RNAcentral's name for it is "SSU rRNA". It matches the Rfam family "Eukaryotic small subunit ribosomal RNA", at positions 578 to 1286 of the family's 1831-position model. Lineage: Eukaryota; Metazoa; Arthropoda; Copepoda; Cyclopoida; Cyclopidae. The record is from RNAcentral.
GGUAAUUCCAGCUCCAAUAGCGUAUAUUAAAUUUGUUGCGGUUAAAAAGCUCGUAGUUGGAUCUCGGCGGGCAGGGGGCGGUCCGUUAUUUGACGCGACUGCCCCAUUUGCCCGUGUAUCUUCGGCGGAACUCCCGGGGUGCUCUUCGCCGAGUGUCCCGUUGGGGGCCGCCAGCUUUACCUUGAAAAAAUUAGAGUGCUUAAAGCAGGCUCGACACGCCUGAAUAUUUGUGCAUGGAAUAAUGGAAUAGGACGUCGUUCCUAUUUUGUUGGUUUUCGGGAAUCGACGUAAUGAUUAAUAGGGACAGCCGGGGGCAUUAGUAUUCAGACGACAGAGGUGAAAUUCUUGGACCGUCUGGCGACUCACUGCUGCGAAAGCGUUUGCCAAGUAUGUUUUCAUUAAUCAAGAACGAAAGUUAGAGGUUCGAAGGCGAUCAGAUACCGCCCUAGUUCUAACCAUAAACGAUGCCAGCUAGCGAUCCGCAGACGUUUUUAUUGUAGGCUCUGCGGGAAGCUUCCGGGAAACCAAAGCUAUUGGGUUCCGGGGGAAGUAUGGUUGCAAAGCUGAAACUUAAAGAAAUUGACGGAAGGGCACCACCAGGCGUGGAACUUGCGGCUUAAUUUGACUCAACACUGGAAAUCUCACCAGGCCCGGACACCGGAAGGAUUGACAGAUUGAGAGCUCUUUCUCGAUUCGGUGGGUGGUGGUGCAUG